RNAcentral lists this transfer RNA (72 nucleotides) under Hippocampus trimaculatus (longnose seahorse). RNAcentral's name for it is "tRNA-Trp". It matches the Rfam family "tRNA". Rfam says of the family: Transfer RNA (tRNA) molecules are approximately 80 nucleotides in length. Their secondary structure includes four short double-helical elements and three loops (D, anti-codon, and T loops). Lineage: Eukaryota; Metazoa; Chordata; Actinopteri; Syngnathiformes; Syngnathidae. The record is from RNAcentral.
AAGAGUUUAGGUUAACAAAUAGACCUAAGGCCUUCAAAGCCUUAAGCAGGAGUGAAAAUCUCCUAACCCUUG